UUUGGCAAAGGCUGUGUUCAAUUUUUUGUAAAUUAUGUGACUGUUUAACUAAUUUCUUCAACUCUAAGACAUCUGUCGCAUAAAUUUUUAGCAGGGUUCUGUCUUCAAUAGCACAUUUUCCUUGCAGUUCCAAUAAAAUCACAAUAAAACAUUUUGCAGUUAAGUUACAUGACUACAAUAACAUUGAACCAUCCACCAUAGUUCCUUCUCAGUCUUUAAUGGCACUUCUGUGAACACAAUCCUUUAUCCAGUGAUCCUCAAGCACUUCCUGACACUUACACUUCACAAUACUCUGCUACUCACACAUUUCCUCAACAACAAUGGAUUUUAGAAACAGUCUUAACAGAUCAGUACCCUUGUGUAUCUGAAUUUGAUGCUAAAUCAAAAUACCAAAUGCAGUCAGUUCAAGUUUAGCAUUUUUCAAAAACCCAGGCAAAAAUUCAGGAAAAACUUCUUAUUCAGACAUAUCUUAUGGAAAAUGGAUAGAUGAUGGAUCAUCCACCAGCCUUUAAAACCUCCACUACUUCAAGCCAGCCCUCUAGCCAGCAAGUUAAAAUAGGCUUUGCCAUAGUGAAUGCUUCACAAUCAGGCUUUUAGACUGUAAGCUCAUAACAGGACAUGAAGUUCAACAACAAGCAAUGUUUUCAGAAUAGGGCACUUGCACUGAGGGCUUGGAUCUUGCACUGUGGAAGAGAUGCAGGCUUACAAGUCAAUGUAAGUGGGGGAAGCUGCUGUUUAUGCAGAUGCCAUUUCUGGCAGUGCCAAGUAAUGGCAAAACUCCUGAAGAGUACAGUCUCUUCUUACGCACAGCUGACCAUACCAGUAUAAUACAUUUUAACUCUUUAUCCUGGAUAUUUUUACCCAUGGGACAGCUGAGUAAGGCUCACUGCCUCUGUUAUAGCAAAAACAUAAACAACCAACCCCAAAUAUGGAAAGCAACUUUCAGUCCAAAUUGUGGACCAAUUUAGUAUUUUAUCAUCUAUUUUGUAUGGAAGAAACAAUCUCCAUUUCUUAAUGGGAUAGGCUGGAAAAUGUAUGUGAGUUUAAGCACUGGGAGAGAUGAUGAUCAAGAGAAUUGCUGGAUGCUGUUUGACAUUUAAACUGCUCAUUUCGCUGUUUCAGUCACUGUUCAUCAGUGGGAGGUAAGAAAGAAAACGGUGGUGUUUCUCCCUCUUGGAAGAAAAUACUGUGUAAUGAAAUUGCCAGCAUCAGUGCAUUCCCAUUCACUUUUCCAUUCUUUAUGGAUGUCAGUUGUUCAGAUGAGACAGCCAAAGACCACCUCAUUCUGAUUCAUUUUCAUAGGAGGAAGAAGACAGAAGGGAGCUUACUUGAUUGAACUUUGAUAGCUGUAAAGCUCUACGAAGAGUCUGUUAUCUAACCCCAGAUAAUCUCUGCUGAAGACUAAGAAACAUGGAAGAACCAGAGAGGCUCAGAAAGAAGAACAAAGGCUCAGAAAAGUUGACAUAGAAGAAACGAGCCUUUGAAGAGUGGCAAAUAAUGAAGAGCUGUCAAUGCUUUUGCUCCAAACUAAUGUACGUUGCUACUUGCUGCUAUUAAAUAGCUGCCAUACCUCAGCCUGGUGUUCACUGGUUUUCAGGAUAAGGAUAUAAAGUUUCUUGUAUUAGGUUUUAUUCUUUCAGAGAAAAAGCACUAGCCCUUCAAUGUUAUAUUUUAGCCUACUUCAAGAAAGCAUCUUGAAAAAUUCUAAAAAGGUUUUCUUUUGGAAGAAAGUACCACUGUCUUCAUCAACAAGCACAAGCAGGUUCAUGCAUUACAAAAUCAGAUGAUUCAAAAUAGUGAACAUUUUCAUCAGCAAAAUGAAAGGCUGGUUUUUUUACUUAUGUUGAUUUACACUGAAUUAAGUUGGGAAGUUUGGAUCUCCCUCACCAAGCACAAAAAAUCUUAUUUUUAUCUCUAGUCAACAGUGACAGGACAAAAUAGGAAAGAUCUGUUUUCUGUUGACUAAAGAGGAUUGGAAUUUUAUCUUCAGUGUUCAAGAUCUCCUGCCAUGCACUGCUGCUAUUGAAUUCUAACUUGGAAGAAAAAUCCCAGGGAAACAAAAAGCUUAUAAAGAACAACGAAGUGUGAUGGACAGUUAGGAUUACCCCAGCAGGUAACUACAAACAGAUUUUAAAUACCUGCAAAUAAAUUGCUAUAUAGUCUGAUGUGUCCUAAUCCCAGGUACUAUUAGCUGAAAACUAAGCCAGGGCAGAGAUACACCUUAUGCUAAAACAAAAUAUGUAAAACGCCUACUCAUGUGUUCUAACUUUCUCACAGUGUAAAUUAUGAAACCCCUUGUUUUAUGAAGCACAUUGCAGUCAACCUAAUGAAUUUUCAGGUGGAAGCAGCAACAUGAUGUAGUCUCAUAAAGCACACUAUGAAACUAAAAAUGUGCUGAUGCAAAACAGUGACCUCGCUGCAAGUCACACAGAGAAAAGUUACUGCUAUUAAACUGAAUUUGAAAACUUCCCUUUUAUCCUGUAAUUCAUGGGUAUGCCUUCUCUGGCAAAAAUACUAAAUCAAAUAUCCUACAGUGAUUAUUGAUGUGGACAAAAAUCACAAGAUGCAGAACUGGCUCAACGGUGUCUAUGGACAAGCCACAGGAGUCUAUUCAAUUGCAUUAGAAAGUCAAUACCAGCUGUCAACAUCUCUCUGUAUUUAGUUUUACGUAUGUCGGGGUUUUUUUCUCUAUUGACUUGGGCACUUAAAGGAUAUUUCUAAUCCUUUUACCAUGCACUUGUGCCUUAACAGUAGCCUCAGCAAAUUAGGUUACCUAUUAUUUUUUGUAUCUUAAAAAAAGAGAAAUCUUCACAUAUCUGGUAAAUAAAAGCAGCAGAGAAAAGGAAGUAGAAGCAGCCUCAGAAGAAGUGAGUUACUUAAAUAAAAAAGAACCCAAAACAAACACCCCCC
This 2910-nucleotide long non-coding RNA is filed under the name Strigops habroptila (Kakapo). RNAcentral describes it as "lncRNA (ENSSHBG00005012117.1)". The record is from RNAcentral. Lineage: Eukaryota; Metazoa; Chordata; Aves; Psittaciformes; Psittacidae.